AAAAAUUGUUGUGUAACCCCAUGAUUCCUAGGCCUCAGCUGGUGGCCUGCUUAUUUCGAAUAAUAUUUAAUGCAAUAAAUUCUAGGGCAAUAAAAGAAUUUGGACAGUCCCUUAGAGCUUAUUGCAAUGGGAUUUUGACUUGAUUUUAAUAAAAUGAAAUUCCAGUAUCACCACAUAAUUUCUUUGUGGCAUGAUUUAAAAGGUCUUUAAGUACAGGUAUAGGAGAUUGAGUUUGUAAAAACUAAUCUGAGAUAAUUGCUGUUUUAUUCUUACCAAGUAAAUGAAUACUUCAGAAAUAUAGGAAUUCUCCUUAUUUAGCAUAAGAUGAUUUUUAAUAAUACAGCAAAGGAAAUGUAAGUGAACAACCCUACUUUUUGUACUGUUACGGAGAGAAUAAAGAUACCACCUGGCUGUAUGCAUAAGUUUGUUUCCUAAGUUGGUCAAUUUCCUGUAGAUGAGUAUUAAAAAUGACUUGUGAUACAGAAAACCUGUGGCAUCUAAGUAUUAUUAUGAUACCAUGCUACCUGCUAAUGAAGAUUUUUGUGUGUUUUUUUAAAAAAUAAAAUUGUUUUUACUCAUUCACAUUCAAGAGUCUUACAGUAAAGUCAGCCAUAGACCAAAUAUUUGGAACUUACUGAGUUGAUAAAAAUGAAAGAAAAACAAGUUUUUGGUAGUUAAGAAAACCGGAAUGUCAGUGUUAGAAAAAUAUGGUCGUAGUCUUGUACUCUGGAGUCUUUAUCUCAAGCCAAUGACUUUUAAGUCUUUUGUUUUCUGUACUGAUGCAGAAUAGUGAAAAUGUUUUUAUAGAAAGUUAUGAAAAAAAAAGUCUACGUAUUAAUUUGCUUUGGGUCAUUCUAAUCUCUUUGGUAAAUUCAUAAUUAGGAAGGCGUUUUUAAGACUGUGUUCUAGUCUCACAGGUACACAGCUACUCCAUAUCUGGUAAAUCUAAAUUCAUAUGUGAGGAGGUUGUGUUUUUUUAAAGCAUAUUAUUUACACAAUUCACUAGAAUGGCUCCUUUGGAAGUUGGGUGGCUCUCUUAUGUAAUUAUGUGCUUAGUAACCCUGCACUACACAGCAGUAGAAAUUCAAGUAAGAAUAAUUUACUGCUUAUGCAUAGUUAUUAGAAUUUUAAAGCAUUUGUUUGUUCAAAAUUCUAGUCAGUGUUAUAUUUGACUAAUUGCAUACUUAAUAAAUACUAAUGAAUAAAUUUUAUUUUAGAAGUAGCCAGGUUUGAAUUCUAACAAUUAAAUAAGCGUCAGGAGAUAACUUCCUCCUCUCCCCCUUUACCUUAUUGUUUAAAAGCAUUUCCGUACAUUUGGUCCAGAUUUUGUGGCGAAAGUAGUAAUUCCUGUAAAAAAUAUCCAUACUAGAAGAAUAGUAGAUGGACUUAAAUCAUAGAAUUAUGGAAUUUUAUUGCUGUAAGGUACUGUUAGAAAUAUUUUAUCUAAGUAUAGUUGAUUUACAGUGUUCUUUAAUUUCUGUUGUACAGCAAAGUGACCCAAUCACACACAGUUCUCUUUGUUAUACGGUAGGGCCCCACUGCCCAUCCAUUCCAGAUAUAACACUUUGAACCCAGAAACCCCAAAUUGCCCAUUCAUCCCACUUCCCUCCCCCGCCGCCCCCACUGGGAACCACAGGUGUGUUCUCCUUGGCCAUGAUCUGCUUCUGUUUUGUAGUUAAGAUCAUUUGUGCCAUAUUUUAGAUUCCACAAAUAAAUGAUAUCAUAUGGUAUUUGUCUUUUUCCUUCUGGCUUACUUCCCUUAGUAUUAGAAUCUUUAGUUCCAUCCAUGUUGCUGCCAAUGGCAAUUAGUUUGUUAUUUUUAUGGCUGAAUAGUAUUACCUUGUACAUACGUACCACACUUAAGCCGUUCAUCUGUUGAUGGACAUUUAGGUUGUUUCCAUGUCUUGGCUCUUGUGAAUAGUGCUGUAGUGAACAUAGGGGUGCAUGUAUCUUAGAAUGAAUGUUUUGUCUGGAUAUAUGCCCAGGAGUGGGAUUGCUGGAUCAUGUGGUAGGUGUAUAUUUAGUUUUCUGAGGUACCACCAUACUGUUUUCCAUAGUGUUUAUACCAAUUUACAUUCCUACCCACAGUGAAGGAGGGUAGUACCCUUUUAUCCACAGCCUCUCCAGCUUUUGUUAUUUGUUGAUUUGUUAAUGAUGGCCAUUCUGACUGGUGUGAGGUGGUAACUCCUUGUAGUUUUGAUUUGCAUUUCUCUACUAAUUAGUGAUGUUGAGCAUUUUUUCACGUGCCUUUUGGCCAUCCUUGUGUCUUUUUUGGAGAAGUGUCUAUUUGGGCCUUCUGCUCAUUUUUCAAUUGGGUUGUUUGUUUUUUUGUUGUUGAGUUGUAUGAGUUAUUUGUAUAUUUUGGAGAUUAGGCUCUUAUCUGUUGCAUUGUUUGCAAAGAUUUUCUCCCAUUCUGUGGGUUGUCUUUUCAUUUUUUUAAAUGGUUUCCUUUGCUGUGCAAAAGCUUUUGAGUUUAAUUAGGUCCCAUUGGUUUAUUUCCGUGUCUGCAACCUACACCACAGCUCAGGGCAAUGCCGGAUCCAUAACCCACUGAGCAAGGCCUGGCAUCGAACCUGCAUCCUCCUGGAUGCUAGUCAGAUUCGUUAACCACUGAGCCAUGAUGGGAACUCCAUAGAAGAAUAAAAUUUUAGAAAGAUAAAUUCAUCGGUGGGUUCAGUGCUUGUUGAAGUUGUCUUCCACAAUCUGCCUGCUGCUAUUCACUUUUCAGAGUCCUUAGUACCAUUCUGUCCAUUUUUAGUAGUUACAUUUAGUGGGAGAUAGGAGAGUGUCUGCUUUUUCCAUUUUACCUGGAACCAGAACCCUUUCUAGUUUCUUUUUAGUAUUCAUUGAUAGCUAAUUGAAUGACAUGGUUUUUGCAAGUUCAGUCCUUUGAAAUUUGUUGAUACUUGCUUCAUGGCCCCUAAGCUCUGUUUGGUAAGUGUAGCAAAUGUGCUUAAACAGUUGCAGUUCUUGGGUAUAGUGUUCCAAAUAAGUCCUUAGGUCAGGUUCAUUAAUGGGUUCUUCAAAUUCUUUUUUGCUUAUUCUAUCAAGUAGCUGAAGGAGAGGGUGCUGAGAAUAGAUUUGUGUGUUCUCUCUUUAGUUCUGUGUAUUUUCCUUAUUAAAUUUUGAAAUUCUUGGAGUUUCCAUUGUGGCUCAGUGGUUAACGAAUCCUACUAGGAACCACGAGGUUGUGGGUUUGAUCCCUGGCCUUGCUCAGUGGGUUAAGGAUCC
This 3231-nucleotide long non-coding RNA is filed under the name Sus scrofa (pig). Its description in RNAcentral is "lncRNA (ENSSSCG00015072545.1)". The record is from RNAcentral. Lineage: Eukaryota; Metazoa; Chordata; Mammalia; Artiodactyla; Suidae.